RNAcentral lists this transfer RNA (69 nucleotides) under Anomaloglossus surinamensis. RNAcentral's name for it is "tRNA-Asp". It matches the Rfam family "tRNA". Rfam says of the family: Transfer RNA (tRNA) molecules are approximately 80 nucleotides in length. Their secondary structure includes four short double-helical elements and three loops (D, anti-codon, and T loops). Further hydrogen bonds mediate the characteristic L-shaped molecular structure. tRNAs have two regions of fundamental functional importance: the anti-codon, which is responsible for specific mRNA codon recognition, and the 3' end, to which the tRNAs corresponding amino acid is attached (by aminoacyl-tRNA synthetases). tRNAs cope with the degeneracy of the genetic code in two manners: having more than one tRNA (with a specific anti-codon) for a particular amino acid; and 'wobble' base-pairing, i.e. permitting non-standard base-pairing at the 3rd anti-codon position. Lineage: Eukaryota; Metazoa; Chordata; Amphibia; Anura; Aromobatidae. The record is from RNAcentral.
GAGAAAUUAGUUAAUUUAUAGCACUACCUUGUCAAGGUAGAGUGAUGGGCUAAAUCCCCAUAUUUCUCU